This 463-nucleotide ribosomal RNA is filed under the name Escherichia coli. RNAcentral's name for it is "bacterial SSU rRNA". It matches the Rfam family "Bacterial small subunit ribosomal RNA", at positions 1082 to 1533 of the family's 1533-position model. The record is from RNAcentral. Lineage: Bacteria; Pseudomonadati; Pseudomonadota; Gammaproteobacteria; Enterobacterales; Enterobacteriaceae.
AAGUCCCGCAACGAGCGCAACCCUUAUCCUUUGUUGCCAGCGGUCCGGCCGGGAACUCAAAGGAGACUGCCAGUGAUAAACUGGAGGAAGGUGGGGAUGACGUCAAGUCAUCAUGGCCCUUACGACCAGGGCUACACACGUGCUACAAUGGCGCAUACAAAGAGAAGCGACCUCGCGAGAGCAAGCGGACCUCAUAAAGUGCGUCGUAGUCCGGAUUGGAGUCUGCAACUCGACUCCAUGAAGUCGGAAUCGCUAGUAAUCGUGGAUCAGAAUGCCACGGUGAAUACGUUCCCGGGCCUUGUACACACCGCCCGUCACACCAUGGGAGUGGGUUGCAAAAGAAGUAGGUAGCUUAACCUUCGGGAGGGCGCUUACCACUUUGUGAUUCAUGACUGGGGUGAAGUCGUAACAAGGUAACCGUAGGGGAACCUGCGGUUGGAUCACCUCCUUACCUUAAAGAAGC